CCGCCGGCGACCGGCGCACGGGUAGAGUAACACGUAUGCAACCUGGCCGUGACAGAUGGAUAACCGGGAGAAAUCCCGCCUAAUACAACAUAAUGCCGGGAGGGGACAUCCCCUGCCGGCCAAAGGGGGCGACCCCGGUCACGGAUGGGCAUGCGGCGCAUUAGGUAGUUGGUGGGGCAACGGCCCACCAAGCCGACGAUGCGUAGGGGUUCUGAGAGGAAGGUCCCCCACAUUGGAACUGAGACACGGUCCAAACUCCUACGGAAGGCAGCAG
This 274-nucleotide ribosomal RNA is filed under the name uncultured bacterium. Its description in RNAcentral is "partial 16S ribosomal RNA". It matches the Rfam family "Bacterial small subunit ribosomal RNA", at positions 85 to 354 of the family's 1533-position model. The record is from RNAcentral.